This is a long non-coding RNA of Hippopotamus amphibius kiboko, 2748 nucleotides long. RefSeq lists it as uncharacterized. The record is from RefSeq and is a predicted model, not a curated record. NCBI's taxonomy places the organism in Eukaryota, Metazoa, Chordata, Mammalia, Artiodactyla, Hippopotamidae. The transcript has 3 exons.
AGCAGAAGCUGACCUUGAACCCGGCUCUGCCCAACCACUACACCUACACCAUGCACUCUCAAAGCUCCAGAAGGCUCCAGAAGAGAGUCAGGAUACACCCAUAGGGAUCCGCAAGUAAAAGGCAGGAUGUGGGGAGGGCUUCUGGACGCAGUGGCAGUCACACUAACGGCCAGCCUUUAUUAAAUGCUUAUUGGACGCUAGUCCCUGUGCUCAGAGCUUCAUACAGCCUCGCACAGGAGCUGCGCCUGGGGAGUGGGUACGAUUUGGGCAGGUGGAAAUGGGGGCAGGCGCGCUUUCUUACUUGAAGAUGACAAAAAAGUGUCCGUGUGCUCGACACCCUGGGGAGGCAGCUGUGACUCAAAGCUGGAACGGGGCCCGCUUUGCGGCGGCCUCCAGAGCUGGAAUACAGGAGGCACACCUUGGUACACCCGGGUGUUUCAUCACCUCCCUCCGUUCAUCCUGAAUUCCAUCCCAGCAAGAUCUGCUGAUGUCCACCACCGUUCCCCGGCCCGCACAUCCCCACUGUGUUCCCGCCCAGUUCCCCCUCGGGAAGACGGAGGCUAGGUAGCGAACAAGAUGAGCAUCCUGGUAACUGAGGGAUGAGUGAGAGGGGAGGGUGAGAACUGCCUUGUUGCAACAGAGCAGCCACCCUGCACCUACCAGAGGCACGUUUUCUGGGACACUUGGCAGGACGUUCUGUGUGCCUUAGCAUUUCAAAAAACAAGGCGAGGAACCAGAGCGUUUGCGUCGUCGCUUUCAUUUCAUAAACAUGUGGUGAGCACCUACUGUGUGCCAAGCACUGCAGUGGGCGAGAAGAUGCAGAGAUGAGACUUGUCGUCCUGGCUUCAGGGAACUGAUGUGGCAUCACGAGGACUGAGAGGCAGUGAGCACAGGGACUGGACACCUAGCCUACCCUGGGGGCUAGCGAACUAGCACCAGGACUCAGCCCACCCCAUUUUCAGCUUGAAAAAUGAGCUGGAGGAGACCGGGAAGUUUGCUGAGGUCAGAAGGUAAAUCGGCAGCCCGUCUCCAUGCCGACCCACCUUCCCCAACCUGCCAGUGCCCACAUCAUUCAGGCUCGAUCAGCAGCUCCUCACCGAGCCUGGAGCCCACCGUCCGUGAUGCUUGCCUGAAGAGUCCCCAUCAUUCCUCAGGAGCCCCAGUGAUGAUCCUGGGCCAGGUCGGCUGCGACAGCCAGCACCAAAUUCUUGGGCAGGACACAGACCCCGGACAGCAGGUCAUAAAUACCCAUCAGUUCCUUCCUGCUUUGAUGCCCAGCUUCCUCUGCGAGGUGGAGAGAUGGAAGCCACAAAGGCCAGAUCCUGCCAAAGCCUGCACAUGGAGGUCCUUUCAGGAGAGACCGGGGGGAACCAGAUGCAGCUCAAAAGUGGACACUGGCAACUCUGAACUCUUCUUUUCAAGAAAACUCCUCAGAGCCUACCAGCUUCAAAACUGGCAUCGGGAAAUGGCAGGGAACACUGUCAUGAUGGAUGAUGCCAUGAAGGUGUCACCGGGCAGGUCUGGUGUUUUCAGUGCACAGAACAACACGUGAGAAAGCUCAGCAAAACCCAUGAUGCAACCAAGAACGAAGAUAUAACACAGACCACGAGGGAUCUCUUCUCUCCCGUCCAACCAAACAAACUCAGAAACACACAGAUUCAGAAAUCAUCCGUGUCAGCAGACUCCUCCGGUCAGCACGCACGUAUUUACGUUUGGUUUGUGUUUUCUAGAACUCCAGGUUCCAGCUCCCAGUUCGCAUAGCUGCUAAGUGCCGCUGGAACAGGACCUAAGAGUCAGCCCAGACCCAGGGGGAAGAAGGAGAGUGACCAAAACCCUACAAAGCCAGCACCUCCACCAGCCUGCCCCCUAGUUACCCUGCACAGAAGACACGGCCUGAACCAAUGGUGUCCCAACAUCUGGUCCGUUUCUUUAUUCCUGCUAUUUUUUUUUAAAUCAGUUCUGAUUUCAGCACAAUAAAUCUUUGAAGGGUCGAUUGCUUUCAAGACAAUCCCUCCGUGGUAUAGCUGUGAAUAGGAUCAAAAAGGGUAACGAUGGAAUGGUGAUAUUGUAAGUUCCUAACUGAAGGAAAAGAAAAAAGCUAGGGAGAUGUCUGUGUCCUGAAAAAAGGAAAGAAGGGGGAAAAACAAAAGACAAGUGUGGAAAUCUGUUCAUUUGGAAUGGCGAGAGCAGGAGAGAGGCCUCAUCAUUUUGGAUCUCCAUCUGGUGCCUAAACCCCAAAAUCCUUUCAUUCGAAUGUCCGUGUAUGCACAGGGCUAUUUAUUAAUCACCUCCUGUCUGCCAGGCCACAUUGGGUGUCUUUGUCGGGUGAGGAAAGGGAGGAGAGUUGGAGGAAAUUUUAGGAGGCCAUCCCAGGAAGUCUCACUUGAGAAAACAUCUGGAUUUUCCACAUCUCUAGUGCAAACAAUUUUAUUAAAUGAUGUGCAUCGUGUCCUAAGGUAGAACUCUUUGGGAGCCUGACGCAAACAAACAAACAAAACAAACAUGAAAUACACAAGACCCCAAACUCUGGCAAUGAGGUGCACUUACUACCGUGGUCCUUCACAAAGGCGCAGAUGGCGAGUUGCAGGGGUUUGUUUUUUUUUUUCAGAAUCCACUUUCCGGUAAACAAUCGAAAUGGUAUAUGAAGACCCCAGACCCUUCUUCUGCCCUUUUCCCCCUGCCCACCCCCACCAGACAUGUACCCUCAUCAAAAUGACACCCCCCCCAAGAAACUUCCAAAUCUUCGUU